This 228-nucleotide unclassified non-coding RNA is filed under the name Hevea brasiliensis (rubber tree). Lineage: Eukaryota; Viridiplantae; Streptophyta; Magnoliopsida; Malpighiales; Euphorbiaceae. The record is from RNAcentral.
UUCGUUUGGGUGUAUGCCAUUUUCAAAAACCACACCAAACUUGUUUACCAGGAAAUGCCCCACGUGGUCUUGGCAUCUCCUGCUCCAGCGGCGCAACUAAUCAUCGUGAACAACGCNNNNNNNNGUCAAUUUAGGUUAAGGUACCCCUUCUCUCUCAAUCCACAUGGGCCAAAUCCCAAAUCGCCUCCAUUUCUGACUUGGUUUUCUCCUUCUGCAACUCAAUCUAUC